Molecule: ribosomal RNA, 2517 nt
Filed under: Klebsiella pneumoniae
Lineage: Bacteria; Pseudomonadati; Pseudomonadota; Gammaproteobacteria; Enterobacterales; Enterobacteriaceae
Description: bacterial LSU rRNA
Rfam family: Bacterial large subunit ribosomal RNA
Source: RNAcentral
CCAGAGUCUGAAUCAGCUUGUGUGUUAGUGGAACGGUCUGGAAAGUCCGACGGUACAGGGUGAUAGUCCCGUACACCAAAAUGCACAGGUUGUGAACUCGAAGAGUAGGGCGGGACACGUGGUAUCCUGUCUGAAUAUGGGGGGACCAUCCUCCAAGGCUAAAUACUCCUGACUGACCGAUAGUGAACCAGUACCGUGAGGGAAAGGCGAAAAGAACCCCGGCGAGGGGAGUGAAAAAGAACCUGAAACCGUGUACGUACAAGCAGUGGGAGCACCUUCGGGUGUGACUGCGUACCUUUUGUAUAAUGGGUCAGCGACUUAUAUUCUGUAGCAAGGUUAACCGUAUAGGGGAGCCGCAGGGAAACCGAGUCUUAACUGGGCGUUAAGUUGCAGGGUAUAGACCCGAAACCCGGUGAUCUAGCCAUGGGCAGGUUGAAGGUUGGGUAACACUAACUGGAGGACCGAACCGACUAAUGUUGAAAAAUUAGCGGAUGACUUGUGGCUGGGGGUGAAAGGCCAAUCAAACCGGGAGAUAGCUGGUUCUCCCCGAAAGCUAUUUAGGUAGCGCCUCGUGAAUUCAUCUUCGGGGGUAGAGCACUGUUUCGGCUAGGGGGUCAUCCCGACUUACCAACCCGAUGCAAACUACGAAUACCGAAGAAUGUUAUCACGGGAGACACACGGCGGGUGCUAACGUCCGUCGUGAAGAGGGAAACAACCCAGACCGCCAGCUAAGGUCCCAAAGUCAUGGUUAAGUGGGAAACGAUGUGGGAAGGCACAGACAGCCAGGAUGUUGGCUUAGAAGCAGCCAUCAUUUAAAGAAAGCGUAAUAGCUCACUGGUCGAGUCGGCCUGCGCGGAAGAUGUAACGGGGCUAAACCAUGCACCGAAGCUGCGGCAGCGACACUAUGUGUUGUUGGGUAGGGGAGCGUUCUGUAAGCCUGCGAAGGUGACCUGUGAGGGUUGCUGGAGGUAUCAGAAGUGCGAAUGCUGACAUAAGUAACGAUAAAGCGGGUGAAAAGCCCGCUCGCCGGAAGACCAAGGGUUCCUGUCCAACGUUAAUCGGGGCAGGGUGAGUCGACCCCUAAGGCGAGGCCGAAAGGCGUAGUCGAUGGGAAACAGGUUAAUAUUCCUGUACUUGGUGUUACUGCGAAGGGGGGACGGAGAAGGCUAUGUUAGCCGGGCGACGGUUGUCCCGGUUUAAGCAUGUAGGCUGGUUGUCCAGGCAAAUCCGGAUAAUCAAGGCUGAGGUGUGAUGACGAGGCACUACGGUGCUGAAGUAACAAAUGCCCUGCUUCCAGGAAAAGCCUCUAAGCAUCAGGUAACAUCAAAUCGUACCCCAAACCGACACAGGUGGUCAGGUAGAGAAUACCAAGGCGCUUGAGAGAACUCGGGUGAAGGAACUAGGCAAAAUGGUGCCGUAACUUCGGGAGAAGGCACGCUGGUGUGUAGGUGAAGUCCCUGCGGAUGGAGCUGAGACCAGUCGAAGAUACCAGCUGGCUGCAACUGUUUAUUAAAAACACAGCACUGUGCAAACACGAAAGUGGACGUAUACGGUGUGACGCCUGCCCGGUGCCGGAAGGUUAAUUGAUGGGGUUAUCCGUAAGGAGAAGCUCUUGAUCGAAGCCCCGGUAAACGGCGGCCGUAACUAUAACGGUCCUAAGGUAGCGAAAUUCCUUGUCGGGUAAGUUCCGACCUGCACGAAUGGCGUAAUGAUGGCCAGGCUGUCUCCACCCGAGACUCAGUGAAAUUGAACUCGCUGUGAAGAUGCAGUGUACCCGCGGCAAGACGGAAAGACCCCGUGAACCUUUACUAUAGCUUGACACUGAACAUUGAGCCUUGAUGUGUAGGAUAGGUGGGAGGCUUUGAAGCGUGGACGCCAGUCUGCGUGGAGCCAACCUUGAAAUACCACCCUUUAAUGUUUGAUGUUCUAACGUUGGCCCCUUAUCGGGGUUGCGGACAGUGUCUGGUGGGUAGUUUGACUGGGGCGGUCUCCUCCCAAAGCGUAACGGAGGAGCACGAAGGUUAGCUAAUCCUGGUCGGACAUCAGGAGGUUAGUGCAAUGGCAUAAGCUAGCUUGACUGCGAGCGUGACGGCGCGAGCAGGUGCGAAAGCAGGUCAUAGUGAUCCGGUGGUUCUGAAUGGAAGGGCCAUCGCUCAACGGAUAAAAGGUACUCCGGGGAUAACAGGCUGAUACCGCCCAAGAGUUCAUAUCGACGGCGGUGUUUGGCACCUCGAUGUCGGCUCAUCACAUCCUGGGGCUGAAGUAGGUCCCAAGGGUAUGGCUGUUCGCCAUUUAAAGUGGUACGCGAGCUGGGUUUAGAACGUCGUGAGACAGUUCGGUCCCUAUCUGCCGUGGGCGCUGGAGAAUUGAGGGGGGCUGCUCCUAGUACGAGAGGACCGGAGUGGACGCAUCACUGGUGUUCGGGUUGUCAUGCCAAUGGCACUGCCCGGUAGCUAAAUGCGGAAGAGAUAAGUGCUGAAAGCAUCUAAGCACGAAACUUGCCCCGAGAUGAGUUCU